RNAcentral lists this ribosomal RNA (580 nucleotides) under uncultured bacterium. Its description in RNAcentral is "bacterial SSU rRNA". It matches the Rfam family "Bacterial small subunit ribosomal RNA", at positions 324 to 918 of the family's 1533-position model. The record is from RNAcentral.
GCGGGAAUUCGAUUCCUACGGGAGGCAGCAGCAAGGAAUCUUCGGCAAUGGGCUCAAGCCUGACCGAGCAACGCCGCGUGGAGGACGACGGCCUUCGGGUUGUAAACUCCUUUUCUGAGGGAAGAUAUGGACGGUACCUCAGGAAUCAGCCCCGGCUAACUCUGUGCCAGCAGCCGCGGUAAGACAGAGGGGGCAAGCGUUGUCCGGACUUACUGGGCGUACAGCGCGCGCAGGUGGUUUGCUAAGUUCGCGGUGACAGCGUGCGGCUCAACCGCACACGGUCCGUGGAGACUGGUGAACUGGAGGCUAAGAGAGGGAUGUGGAAUACCCGGUGGAGCGGUGAAAUGCGUAGAGAUCGGGUGGAACACCAGAGGCGAAGGCGGCAUCCUGGCUUAGUCCUGACACUGAGGCGCGACAGCGUGGGGAGCAAACGGGAUUAGAUACCCCGGUAGUCCACGCCGUAAACGAUGUGGAGCCGAUGCUGGACAGUGAUUGCGCUGUUCGGUGUCCCAGCUUACGCGAUGACUCCACCGCCUGGGAACUACGGCCGCAAGGCUAAAACUCAAAGGAAUUGACGGAA